GACGUAGGGCGCGAGCGUUGUCCGGAUUUAUUGGGCGUAAAGAGCUCGUAGGCGGCUUGUUGCGUCGACUGUGAAAACCCGCGGCUUAACUGCGGGCUUGCAGUUGAUACGGGCAGGCUAGAGUUCGGUAGGGGAGACUGGAAUUCCUGGUGUAGCGGUGAAAUGCGCAGAUAUCAGGAGGAACACCGGUGGCGAAGGCGGCAUCCUGGACCGGUAUUGACGCUGAGGCGCGAAAGCUAGGGGAGCAAACGGG
Molecule: ribosomal RNA, 253 nt
Filed under: uncultured bacterium
Lineage: Bacteria
Description: partial 16S ribosomal RNA
Rfam family: Bacterial small subunit ribosomal RNA
Source: RNAcentral